This 482-nucleotide ribosomal RNA is filed under the name uncultured bacterium. RNAcentral's name for it is "partial 16S ribosomal RNA". It matches the Rfam family "Bacterial small subunit ribosomal RNA", at positions 30 to 507 of the family's 1533-position model. The record is from RNAcentral.
AUUGAACGCUGGCGGCAUGCUUUACACAUGCGAGUCGAACGGUAACAGCACUUCGGUGGCUGACGAGUGGCGGACGGGUGCGUAAUACAUCGGAACGUGCCUCGUAGUUGGGGAUAACUACUCGAAAGAGUAGCUAAUACCUCAUGAGAUCUAAUGAUGAAAGCAGGGGACCUCCGGGCCUUGCGCUACUAUAGCGGCUGGUGGCAGAUUAGGUGGUGGGUGAGAGAAAAGCUGACCAAGCCGACGAUCUGUAGCUGGCCGGAGAGGACGAGCCGCCACACUGGAACUGAGACGCGGUCCAGACUCCUACGGGAGGCAGCAGUGGGGAAUGUUGGACAAUGGGCGAAAGCCUGACCGAGCAACGCCGCGUGAAUGAUGAAGGUCUUCGGAUCGUAAAACUCUGUUAUUAGGAAAGAAAAAAUGUGUAAGUAACUAUGCACGUCUUGACGGUACCUAAUCAGAAAGCCACGGCUAACUACGUG